UACGGGGGGAGCAAGCGUUGUUCGGAUUUACUGGGCGUAAAGGGCGCGUAGGCGGCCACCGCAGGUCGACUGUGAAAUCUCCGGGCUUAACCCGGAAAGGUCAGCCGAUACUGCGGGGCUAGAGUGCAGAAGGGGCAACUGGAAUUCUCGGUGUAGCGGUGAAAUGCGUAGAUAUCGAGAGGAACACCUGCGGCGAAGGCGGGUUGCUGGGCUGACACUGACGCUGAUGUGCGAAAGCUAGGGGAGCGAACGGG
RNAcentral lists this ribosomal RNA (254 nucleotides) under uncultured bacterium. Its description in RNAcentral is "partial 16S ribosomal RNA". It matches the Rfam family "Bacterial small subunit ribosomal RNA", at positions 524 to 776 of the family's 1533-position model. The record is from RNAcentral.